CUGUUAGAUGUCGCUGUAGAUUUAGCAGCACUGUACUGUAAAAAUCCACAGUACUAUACUGUAUGUGUACAUUACAGUACAGUACUGCAGUUCAUAAUGCAUUCUGGGUAAAUUUGUUUGAGCGGGAAAAUGUUACAGUAUAUUUUGGUCUUGAUGUAACCUUGCUGUAGCCAUUGCUGUAAUGUGCCAGGUGUACUUGCAAUAAUCAGAGAAAGUGCGCCAACGUCAAAUCACACAGAGGGAGAGAGAGCACAACUCCUGGCUGCAGCUGAAGGAGGACGAUUGAUUUCUGUCAGUUCGUCUUACCAUUGCUUGUAAGUCGGAUUGGGUAAGAUGGAUCAUCUUUAAAGGCACCAGGAGUUAAGGCAGAUGUGGAGGCACACGGGUGACACCAGACACACACCAAGCACAUUGUUCGGACAUUCAAUCAUGACAUGAUCCAUGUGGAUGCUGUCCAUUGAGGAAAGAGUUUGUUCAGCGGUUUCUGGAUAGAAUUAAUUCCAAAGAUGGGAAAAAGUGCACAUCCAGACAAGGAGCUAGCAAAAAGACAAGGAACUUGGUGCAGAGAAAAGCUGUGGCCAUUAACCCCCAUGUGAACAGCUUCAUGCAGUCCCUGAUUGAGUUCGAAUGGACGACUUCAAAGUAAAGGCCACUGUGGUCUGUCUGCCACAGUUUAAUGCAUUUAUUUUUAGUGUUAAAUGAAAUUCAAGUAGAAUAUUUAAAACUAUGGGCCAGUGUUCUUUUUACCACAGUGAAAUGUUACCUUUUAGUCGAUGAUGGACUUUAAACUGAAAACUUCAAACUAUGGAACAGUGUUCUAUUUGCCAGAGUUAAAUAUGUUACAGCAGGGGUCUCCAA
Paramisgurnus dabryanus is the source of this 858-nucleotide long non-coding RNA. RefSeq lists it as uncharacterized. The record is from RefSeq and is a predicted model, not a curated record. Lineage: Eukaryota; Metazoa; Chordata; Actinopteri; Cypriniformes; Cobitidae.